GAUGAACGCUGGCGGCGUGCCUAAUACAUGCAAGUCGAGCGGACAGACGCGGCGCUUGCUCCUUUCACGUUAGCGGAGCACGUGUGUGACACGCGUGGAUCCCCUCCCUAUAAGAGUGGGAUCACUACGGAACACCGGCGCUUAUACCGGAGAAUCUACUGAACCGCAUGGUUCAAUAGAGAAAGACGGUGUUGGUGUAUCUUAUCGAUGGAUCCGCGCCGGAUUAGCUAGUAGGUAAGGUAAAGGCUUACGAAGGCUAGGAUGCGUAGCCGAGCGGAGAGGGUGAUCGGCCACACGGGAACGGAGACACGGUCCAUACUCCUACGGGAGGCAGCAGUAGGGAAUCGGCCGCAAUGGGCGAAAGCUUGACGGAGCAACGCCGCGUGAGUUAUGAAGGUCUUCGGUGCGUAAAACUCGGUUAUUAGGGAAGAACAAAUGUGUAAUGAACUAUGCACGGCUUGACGGUACCUAAUCAGAAAGCCACGGCUAACUACGUG
RNAcentral lists this ribosomal RNA (497 nucleotides) under uncultured bacterium. RNAcentral describes it as "partial 16S ribosomal RNA". It matches the Rfam family "Bacterial small subunit ribosomal RNA", at positions 28 to 507 of the family's 1533-position model. The record is from RNAcentral.